Hordeum vulgare subsp. vulgare (domesticated barley) is the source of this 81-nucleotide non-coding RNA. The record is from Rfam. Lineage: Eukaryota; Viridiplantae; Streptophyta; Magnoliopsida; Poales; Poaceae.
GCCUUGAUGGUGAAAUGGUAGACACGCGAGAGUCAAAAUCUCGUGCUGAAGAGCGUGGAGGUUCGAGUCCUCUUCAAGGCA